This 253-nucleotide ribosomal RNA is filed under the name uncultured bacterium. Its description in RNAcentral is "partial 16S ribosomal RNA". It matches the Rfam family "Bacterial small subunit ribosomal RNA", at positions 524 to 776 of the family's 1533-position model. The record is from RNAcentral.
UACAGAGGUUUCAAGCGUUGUUCGGAUUCAUUGGGCGUAAAGGGUGCGUAGGUGGCGCCGUAAGUCAGGUGUGAAAUCUCGGGGCUCAACCCCGAAACUGCACUUGAUACUGCAGUGCUCGAGUACUGGAGAGGAGAUUGGAAUUUACGGUGUAGCAGUGAAAUGCGUAGAUAUCGUAAGGAAGACCAGUGGCGAAGGCGAAUCUCUGGACAGUUACUGACACUGAGGCACGAAGGCCAGGGGAGCAAACGGG